This 1583-nucleotide long non-coding RNA is filed under the name Marmota monax (woodchuck). Lineage: Eukaryota; Metazoa; Chordata; Mammalia; Rodentia; Sciuridae. The record is from RNAcentral.
AGCCUUGAGGGAGUCCAGCUGGAAGGGGCAACAGCAGAGGAGGAGCAGUGGUAUGUCUGAAAUUGCAAACUCAUAAAAGGGCUAGAAUAACUAAAUAACAAGUCAUCCAGGAAACACAGUCUGCAUGAUUCAAAUUUUUAAAAGGAAUGGAAAUGCUUUUUGUAUUGAUUGUAUUGGUUGCAUAUGUGUCAAAAUCCACCAAAUUGCAUGCUUCAAAUAUGUGCAUUUUAUUGUACUUCAAUUUUAUCUCAAUAAAGCUAUAGAAAAAAAAAUAAAAAGAAAAUAAAAAAGAAAAGGGCUGAGGCUGUGGCUCAGUGGCAGAGGGCUUGCCUAGCACCUGUGAGGCACUGGGUUUAAUCCUCAGCACCACAUUAAAUAAAUAAAUUAAAUAAAGGAUUGAGUUCAACAAUUUAAAAAGAGAGAGAGAGAGAAAGAAAGAAAGAGCAUUUUCUUUUCCAUGUAACUCCAAAUUGCAGCGCCUAAUUAAGUCGCAGGUCAGUGUGCUGCGGGUGACUGUAAGUCGCCACGUAACCCAGGCAACGGGAAGGCAGAGGACACUGCGUCCCCAAGGCUGCCUGAGACAGCCCUUGGCUGGGCCUCCAUGGGAUCAGCCUGGGGAGCGUCGUGAGCUCCUGGGCACCACUGUCCCUCUGCUUCCCUGGCACACACAGUGACACCACUUUCUUCAAGAGUUUUAUUGAAAUUCGGCGUAAACACAGACAAAGGCAUCGUUAUUUUAAUCUUUUCAUGGACCAUUCCUGACCUGCUCCGUUUUCUUCCCAAAGCUCGAUUCACUCACAGCCCAGUCUCGUGUCCCAACUGUGUGCAGGGUCCACUCCAUCCAGGCCUGGCUAAGCCAGGGCUCCGAAGACGGACCAGUGCCCAAAUAAGCCACAGGUGAGUGCAGGCCAGGACCCAAACAACGAGAGACCAUGGAGAUGGACCAUGGGGGACAAGUCCUGGGGACAGACCAGGACAAGGGGAGCAGAAAGCCAAGGCCCCCCAGGGGGAGUGACAGAAGGCUGCACUAAGGAGGUGAUGCCUAAGGUCGGGCUUUACAUCUGCUAAGUGGGUGGCAGAGCAGUCACGGAGGAGAGAGGAGGGUACACCCGGGUUAUGGCUGUGCAGCUUGGCUGGAUGGUUGCCCAGGUGGCAUGGAUCCUCUAAGAAGUGACACCAAAUUCAGAGAACACACUGGGGGCUGCACCAGACAAACAGUCUACAUGGGCCAGGUCUUGAUUCCUCUCUAUUCUCACUUCCCCAGGGUUUCCUUCACCUCCUGAGCUUGACCUGGUUCCCAUCUCCUGCCCUGUCCAUGUCCAGGCUGUGUCCUACCAUACUGGCUCCAGAGUGUCCUGGUGUAGAAGGAAAAAAUCUCUGUUCCACUCAGUGCCUGGGAGCAUGCUGGGCAUGAAAGGUGGAAGGCAUGUCACAUAACCAGAUAAUGGCAGCUGCAGUCAUUAUGAUAUUGAUGAGGGUAGAGGCAACUGGUGGUACAGUAGUCUGUUUUUGUAUUACUGUAACAAAACAACUGAGGCAGGCUAUUUAAUAAAAAAAAAGAGAGAGAGAGAGAGAGAGAUCUA